CAGAGUUAUACAACUCCCAUACCAUUUGUUAACCUACCCAGUUAUGCCUCGGCGUAAGCUCGGUUGGAGGCACCUGCAGCUACCCUGUAGUUGCACCCGCAGCUACCCUGUAGUUGUUGGUGCAGCUACCCUGUAGUUGCGGACUGCCAACUCCAGCCGCGGCCCGCCGGCGGUACACUAAACUCUGUUUUAUUUUAUAUUCUGAGCGUCUUAUUUUAAUAAGUUA
RNAcentral lists this unclassified non-coding RNA (226 nucleotides) under uncultured Arthrinium. RNAcentral's name for it is "sequence contains ITS1". The record is from RNAcentral. Lineage: Eukaryota; Fungi; Ascomycota; Sordariomycetes; Amphisphaeriales; Apiosporaceae.